UGGCUCUUGGCUUUCACGGGUACAGGGAUAGGGUUCGAUUCUGGAGAAAGAGCCUGAGAACGGCUACUACAUCUACGGAGGGCAGCAGGCGCGUAAUUACCCAAUCCCUACUUACCCAGGUGGUGACAAGAUAUAACAACGCAAUCUCAUUGUGAUUGUAGUGAGGGUAUUCCAAACCGAACCACUAGUACGAUUAGAGGGCAAGUCUGGUGCCAGCAGCCGCGGUAAUUCCAGCUCUAAUAGCGUAUAUUAAAGUUGCUGCAGUUAAAAAGCUCGUAGUUGGAUUUCAAGGAUUGUGUACUCUCUCAGAGUAUGCACCCUACUAUUCUUUGACUUGUUACUGUGAGAAAUUAGAGUGUUUAAAGCAGGCUAUUGCAGAUACAUUAGCAUGGAAUAACGAAUGUAUCUAGAAUCUAGGUAAUUCUAGGUUUCGAUUAAUAGAGACAGUGGGGGCACUUAGUAUUUAAUUGCAAGAGGGAAUUCCUGGAUUCUGUUAAAGACUACGUCUGUCUAAAUUCAUCCGCCAGGAUGUCUUCAUCUAUCAGGACGAAGAUAGGGGCAUCCAACGACCAUCAGAUACUGUCGUAGUCCUAUCUAUAAACCUAUGCCCGACCACGGGAUCGAGUGGCUCACACAUUUCAGUACCUUAUGAGAAAUCAAGUUCUGGGUUCUGGGGGGAGUAUGUCCGCAGACUGAACCUAAGAAUUGACGAUGUACCCCAGGAUGGAGCCUGCGGCUAUUGAUCACACGGAAACUACAGUCGACUGUAGAUCGCGAUGAAGCCUUCCUGAUCUUGGUGCGGCAUGGCGUUCUAUUGGGAGAUGCUGUAAUCGAAACGAAGACCUACCGUACUAU
Molecule: ribosomal RNA, 855 nt
Filed under: uncultured rumen protozoa
Lineage: Eukaryota
Description: bacterial SSU rRNA
Rfam family: Eukaryotic small subunit ribosomal RNA
Source: RNAcentral